AUGAAUUACAAGCAUUGUCUUCAGUUUCUACUGAAUUUGAUAAAUGUAUGGAAUUUCUUAUGGGACUCGAUGAAACUUACAAUCAAGUGAGGAGUCAAAUUCUUUUGAUGGAUCCUUUACCUACAGUAAAUCAGCUGUACGGUAAAUUGGUUCAAGAAGAAUCACAGAGAAAAGUGUAUUCUAGUACACAAUCUGUCAAUUCAGCACCUGCAACCUUUGCGGUCAGUCCAUAGGUCACAAGAAGGAUACAUGUUUUAAAUUGGUGGGAUAUACAGUUCGUUUCAAGUUUAAUAAUGCUAAAAGAGGUACUGCUCCAGUCAAAGCAAAAGCAACAUAGAUUACUGCCUCCGAUACUUCUAGUGUUGAUGCUGACAGUGCAAGUAUUGGAACCACCCAUGCACCAUAGUUUACCCAAGCACAAAUCCAACGACUGAUGUCCUAUUUGCAGUCUCUCAAUGGUGGAGAGUCUUCAGGGUAUUCUCAGGAGGUUCACAUGGCAGGACCUGAACAAGGAGAGAAUUCUGGGGAUUGGUAAUCAGGAACAUGGCAUGUAUAGUCUAUGCACAUCAUUUUCUACCGUUCCUUUUGCUAUUAUCUCUGCUAUCUCUUUGUUUUCCAAUGUAAAUAGCUCAAAUAAAUCCGUUGCUAAGCCUUGUGUAGACCAUUUUCUCUUGUGGCGUGCUAGGCUAGGCCAUCUUUCAAAUCAAAAACUCAAAUUUUUGUUUCCCAAUUUCAUUGAUAAUUAAAGUGUGCGUGACAUUUGUGCUUAUGCCAGGCAAGCUUGAAUUCCUUUUCUUAAUAGUUCUACUUUUAGUUCUUAUAAAUUUGAUUUGAUUCAUCUAGAUAUUUGGGGUCCAUACAAAGCCUCUUGUAG
RNAcentral lists this unclassified non-coding RNA (874 nucleotides) under Hevea brasiliensis (rubber tree). The record is from RNAcentral. Lineage: Eukaryota; Viridiplantae; Streptophyta; Magnoliopsida; Malpighiales; Euphorbiaceae.